GACGAACGCUGGCGGCGUGCCUAAUACAUGCCAGUAGAACGCUGAAGCGAGGAGCUUACUCUUCUUGGAUGAGUUGCGAACGGGUGAGUAACGCGUAGGUAACCUGCCUUGUAGCGGGGGAUAACUAUUGGAAACGAUAGCUAAUACCGCAUAACAAUGGAUGACACAUGUCAUUUAUUUGAAAGGGGCAAUUGCUCCACUACAAGAUGGACCUGCGUUGUAUUAGCUAGUAGGUGAGGUAAUGGCUCACCUAGGCGACGAUACAUAGCCGACCUGAGAGGGUGAUCGGCCACACUGGGACUGAGACACGGCCCAGACUCCUACGGGAGGCAGCAGUAGGGAAUCUUCGGCAAUGGGGGCAACCCUGACCGAGCAACGCCGCGUGAGUGAAGAAGGUUUUCGGAUCGUAAAGCUCUGUUGUAAGUCAAGAACGGGUGUGAGAGUGGAAAGUUCACACUGUGACGGUAGCUUACCAGAAAGGGACGGCUAACUACGUG
RNAcentral lists this ribosomal RNA (497 nucleotides) under uncultured bacterium. RNAcentral's name for it is "partial 16S ribosomal RNA". It matches the Rfam family "Bacterial small subunit ribosomal RNA", at positions 28 to 507 of the family's 1533-position model. The record is from RNAcentral.